Molecule: ribosomal RNA, 723 nt
Filed under: Pseudohaemophilus parahaemolyticus
Lineage: Bacteria; Pseudomonadati; Pseudomonadota; Gammaproteobacteria; Pasteurellales; Pasteurellaceae
Description: Haemophilus parahaemolyticus bacterial SSU rRNA
Rfam family: Bacterial small subunit ribosomal RNA
Source: RNAcentral
GAAUUGAAGAGUUUGAUCAUGGCUCAGAUUGAACGCUGGCGGCAGGCUUAACACAUGCAAGUCGAACGGUAACAGGGAUUAGCUUGCUAAUUUGCUGACGAGUGGCGGACGGGUGAGUAAUGCUUGGGAAUCUGGCUUAUGGAGGGGGAUAACUACGGGAAACUGUAGCUAAUACCGCGUAAAAUCUUCGGAUUAAAGGGUGGGACUUUCGAGCCACCUGCCAUAAGAUGAGCCCAAGUGGGAUUAGGUAGUUGGUUAGGUAAAGGCUGACCAAGCCGACGAUCUCUAGCUGGUCUGAGAGGAUGACCAGCCACACUGGAACUGAGACACGGUCCAGACUCCUACGGGAGGCAGCAGUGGGGAAUAUUGCACAAUGGGGGGAACCCUGAUGCAGCCAUGCCGCGUGAAUGAAGAAGGCCUUCGGGUUGUAAAGUUCUUUCGGUGACGAGGAAGGUUGAUAGGUUAAUAGCCUAUCAAAUUGACGUUAAUCACAGAAGAAGCACCGGCUAACUCCGUGCCAGCAGCCGCGGUAAUACGGGGGGUGCGAGCGUUAAUCGGAAUAACUGGGCGUAAAGGGCACGCAGGCGGUGACUUAAGUGAGAUGUGAAAGCCCCGAGCUUAACUUGGGAAUUGCAUUUCAUACUGGGUCGCUAGAGUACUUUAGGGAGGGGUAGAAUUCCACGUGUAGCGGUGAAAUGCGUAGAGAUGUGGAGGAAUACCGAA